RNAcentral lists this ribosomal RNA (250 nucleotides) under uncultured bacterium. RNAcentral describes it as "partial 16S ribosomal RNA". It matches the Rfam family "Bacterial small subunit ribosomal RNA", at positions 524 to 773 of the family's 1533-position model. The record is from RNAcentral.
UACGGAGGGUGCAAGCGUUGUUCGGAAUUACUGGGCGUAAAGCGCGUGUAGGCGGCCGCGUAAGUCCGACGUGAAAGCCCGGGGCUCAACCCCGGAAGUGCGUUGGAAACUGCGUGGCUUGAGUACUGGAGGGGAAAGUGGAAUUCCGAGUGUAGAGGUGAAAUUCGUAGAUAUUCGGAGGAACACCAGUGGCGAAGGCGACUUUCUGGACAGAUACUGACGCUGAGACGCGAAAGCGUGGGGAGCAAAC